AAUCCAUAGGUUAAUGAGGCGAACCGGGGGAACUGAAACAUCUAAGUACCCCGAGGAAAAGAAAUCAACCGAGAUUCCCCCAGUAGCGGCGAGCGAACGGGGAGGAGCCCAGAGCCUGAAUCAGCAUGUGUGUUAGUGGAAGCGUCUGGAAAGGCGCGCGAUACAGGGUGACAGCCCCGUACACAAAAGCGCAUGUGCUGUGAGCUCGAUGAGUAGGGCGGGACACGUGGUAUCCUGUCUGAAUAUGGGGGGACCAUCCUCCAAGGCUAAAUACUCCUGACUGACCGAUAGUGAACCAGUACCGUGAGGGAAAGGCGAAAAGAACCCCGGCGAGGGGAGUGAAAAAGAACCUGAAACCGUGUACGUACAAGCAGUGGGAGCACAGGUUUACCUGUGUGACUGCGUACCUUUUGUAUAAUGGGUCAGCGACUUAUAUUCUGUAGCAAGGUUAACCGAAUAGGGGAGCCGGAGGGAAACCGAGUCUUAAUUGGGCGUUAAGUUGCAGGGUAUAGACCCGAAACCCGGUGAUCUAGCCAUGGGCAGGUUGAAGGUUGGGUAACACUAACUGGAGGACCGAACCGACUAAUGUUGAAAAAUUAGCGGAUGACCUGUGGCUGGGGGUGAAAGGCCAAUCAAACCGGGAGAUAGCUGGUUCUCCCCGAAAGCUAUUUAGGUAGCGCCUCGUGAAUUCAUCUCCGGGGGUAGAGCACUGUUUCGGCUAGGGGGCCAUCCCGGCUUACCAACCCGAUGCAAACUGCGAAUACCGGAGAAUGUUAUCACGGGAGACACACGGCGGGUGCUAACGUCCGUCGUGAAGAGGGAAACAACCCAGACCGCCAGCUAAGGUCCCAAAGUCAUGGUUAAGUGGGAAACGAUGUGGGAAGGCCCAGACAGCCAGGAUGUUGGCUUAGAAGCAGCCAUCAUUUAAAGAAAGCGUAAUAGCUCACUGGUCGAGUCGGCCUGCGCGGAAGAUGUAACGGGGCUAAACCAUGCACCGAAGCUGCGGCAGCGAACGUAUCACUUAAAGCGAUUCAGCGGGUUACGAUUGACGGAGCGAAGCGACGUCAAAGCGUAUACAAAGUCGAGUCGGUUUAAGGAUACGUUCGUUGGGUAGGGGAGCGUUCUGU
Molecule: ribosomal RNA, 1127 nt
Filed under: Salmonella enterica subsp. enterica
Lineage: Bacteria; Pseudomonadati; Pseudomonadota; Gammaproteobacteria; Enterobacterales; Enterobacteriaceae
Description: partial 23S ribosomal RNA
Rfam family: Bacterial large subunit ribosomal RNA
Source: RNAcentral